Molecule: transfer RNA, 67 nt
Filed under: Adhemarius dariensis
Lineage: Eukaryota; Metazoa; Arthropoda; Insecta; Lepidoptera; Sphingidae
Description: tRNA-Ile
Source: RNAcentral
AAUAAAGUGCCUGAAUAAAGGAUUAUUCUGAUAGGAUAAACUAAGUAGAAAUCCUCUACCUUUAUUA